This 76-nucleotide transfer RNA is filed under the name Anaerolinea thermolimosa. RNAcentral's name for it is "tRNA-Phe". It matches the Rfam family "tRNA". From Rfam's summary of the family: Transfer RNA (tRNA) molecules are approximately 80 nucleotides in length. Their secondary structure includes four short double-helical elements and three loops (D, anti-codon, and T loops). Further hydrogen bonds mediate the characteristic L-shaped molecular structure. tRNAs have two regions of fundamental functional importance: the anti-codon, which is responsible for specific mRNA codon recognition, and the 3' end, to which the tRNAs corresponding amino acid is attached (by aminoacyl-tRNA synthetases). tRNAs cope with the degeneracy of the genetic code in two manners: having more than one tRNA (with a specific anti-codon) for a particular amino acid; and 'wobble' base-pairing, i.e. permitting non-standard base-pairing at the 3rd anti-codon position. The record is from RNAcentral. RNAcentral also lists the same sequence under 1 other name. Lineage: Bacteria; Bacillati; Chloroflexota; Anaerolineae; Anaerolineales; Anaerolineaceae.
GGUGCCAUAGCUCAGUUGGUAGAGCAACGGACUGAAAAUCCGUGUGUCCGUGGUUCAAUUCCACGUGGCACCACAA